UAGUAGCCCCGAUUGAAGCAAGUAUCCUUUUAAAAAUUUGUGUAAAUUUUUAUUUACUUCAAAUUUUUAAAAGAUACUGUGUAAAGCGGGAAUAGAG
Molecule: small RNA, 97 nt
Filed under: Flavobacterium croceum DSM 17960
Lineage: Bacteria; Pseudomonadati; Bacteroidota; Flavobacteriia; Flavobacteriales; Flavobacteriaceae
Description: Flavo-1 RNA
Rfam family: Flavo-1 RNA
Source: Rfam by way of RNAcentral